CAAGUCGAGGGGCAGCAUGAGGUAGCAAUACCUUGAUGGCGACCGGCGCACGGGUGAGUAACACGUGUGCAACCAACCCCGUACCGGGAGAUAACCCGCGGAAACGUGGACUAACAUCCCAUGAUACUCGAGAGCCGCAUGGCUCUAGAUUUAAAAUUCCGGUGGUACGGGACGGGCACGCGCGACAUUAGGUAGUUGGCGGGGUAACGGCCCACCAAGCCGACGAUCGGUAGCCGACCUGAGAGGGUGAUCGGCCACAUUGGGACUGAGACACGGCCCAAACUCC
This 286-nucleotide ribosomal RNA is filed under the name uncultured bacterium. RNAcentral describes it as "partial 16S ribosomal RNA". It matches the Rfam family "Bacterial small subunit ribosomal RNA", at positions 58 to 339 of the family's 1533-position model. The record is from RNAcentral.